GGAAUUGUUAACGGUUCUAACCGUCACGUUUCCCUCUCCUCAGACCUCUCCCUGAGGGAGAGCGAGACGGGGCUUUCCUGGAGGCUGAGGCUGGUCCCGGUCUCGCCAGAAGAGGCAGCCCGCGUACAGCGCCUAGCUCUGCCACUCACCCCACCAUCUGAGGCCUGCCUGGCCCCACAAUGCUCCCCCAAAGUUACAGCCCCUUGGUUGCUAAAUUUUUGUUUAUGCUGAGAUCUUGUAUACUGAACUCCUGACAUCACCAAAGCAAGAGUCUGUCCACGUGGCAAAAGGUUGCUGGUCAAUAUCACUGGUCAUAGGUUUCUAAAGAGAGGGCCUGCAGGUUAAGUGGUUGGUAUACAGAGGGUAAUAUACCUGGGUCCUGCUCUAAGAAUCACAAGAUGACUGACACAGGAACCGACAAGAGGCCAAACACCUGAAUUGGGUGCAUUCAGGGUCCAGAAAGGCAUAGAGAUGCAGGGACCACAUCUGCAUGAGUUCUAUGCAGAGGACACAAUGUUUGCAGAAUGGGAAUGUUUUACUUUUUUAUUUGCACAUAUUUUCCACACCAAAAUAAA
Molecule: long non-coding RNA, 575 nt
Organism: Mauremys reevesii (Reeves's turtle)
Lineage: Eukaryota; Metazoa; Chordata; Testudines; Geoemydidae
Exons: 4
Source: RefSeq, a predicted model, not a curated record